Chlorocebus sabaeus (green monkey) is the source of this 1056-nucleotide long non-coding RNA. RefSeq lists it as uncharacterized. NCBI's taxonomy places the organism in Eukaryota, Metazoa, Chordata, Mammalia, Primates, Cercopithecidae. The record is from RefSeq and is a predicted model, not a curated record.
GGCAGAGCCGCCCCUCCGCCCUCUCCCAGCGCUGCCUCGCGUCCCUGGGUUCCGAGCUCAGCAGCGCGCAAGCUCCGUGGCCGCCAGGACCAGCCCUGCCUCCUCAGCUGAGGAAGCCGCUCCCACCCUUCUCCGCCUCACGCCGCGGACUCAGCUCCCGGGCCUUGCGGGCUCUGCCUGUGGGGUGGGGAGGGCAGCGAACCUCUGUCCUCUCAGGCUGUCACCGCGCGAUUGGGAGGGCGCCAGGAGGCCGAGGUCUGGGCUGCCGUGCGCUGCCGGUGCCUCACCCCGCAGGUCGGUCCGCCUCGUGGGCGGUGGGGCGGACGACCGGGAAGCCCCGAGAUCUCCAGAUCCUCGAAAAAGCCCUGAACUUGCGCAGUGACUUCCCAUUGAGUCCGCGAGGUUCUGGAGACCCGGGAGACGGAAGGAACACCCAAGGCCGACUGCUGCCCUCAGUUAUUGGGGCUCCACAUGGACCAAACCCAGCUGGCAGUCAGAGGGCAAGAGCGUCUUGAUGCACGGCAUACAGACCGAUUCCAGGGUGCAGUGCACGAUGGAAAAGGAGGAACGUACCUGAAGAGGCAAAUGAAAGAUAUCCAGCAUCACAGGCAACCUUGCUUCUACUACCAUAAAAAUAGUUUACAUUUCUUGAGCACUUAGUCUACGUCAGACAUGUCCAUGAUCUCAUUGCGUCUUCCCAUAAACCCGGUUUCCUCCUUUGGACAGAUAAAGAAACUGACUAGCGAAACAGCUUGAGGGACGGAGGUAUGGACAGCUAAGCUGACAUCUUCCCAUCCAGAGUCUUAUCUGGUGAAUAGUAGUUCCCCUGUGAAUGUUUGUGGAAUGAAUGAAUGAAUGAGGAGCAGGCAUAUAUAGGGUUAGAUGGCAAACCUCCCUGAGGAGCCUUAGCGGGGCCUCUUCUCCAUGGGACUUGGAGGGUCUCUGUAGAGAUGAGCCCUGUGCCUUUUGCUAUGUCUCCUGUCGGCUUGUAAUAGGCCAGCUUCUUCAGGUUAAAAGGGCAGGCAUGAAAGUCUGAAUAAAAACCCUUGGACUUGU